RNAcentral lists this ribosomal RNA (810 nucleotides) under Lactarius cyathuliformis. Its description in RNAcentral is "eukaryotic LSU rRNA". The stretch from base 204 to 357 matches the Rfam family "5.8S ribosomal RNA". The record is from RNAcentral. Lineage: Eukaryota; Fungi; Basidiomycota; Agaricomycetes; Russulales; Russulaceae.
GUGAGGGGCAUGUGAGGGCUGUCGCUGACUCAAAGUCGUGCACGCCCGAGUGUGUCCUCUCACAUAAUAAUCCAUCUCACCCUUUGUGCAUCGCCGCGUGAGCACCCUUUGGGAUCAUCUCGGAGGGGGCUCGCGUUUUCACACAAACCCCCCUUUUAAAAGUGUAGAAUGACCUCAUUUAUGCGCUAACACGCAAUCAAUACAACUUUCAACAACGGAUCUCUUGGCUCUCGCAUCGAUGAAGAACGCAGCGAAAUGCGAUACGUAAUGUGAAUUGCAGAAUUCAGUGAAUCAUCGAAUCUUUGAACGCACCUUGCGCCCCUUGGUAUUCCGAGGGGCACACCCGUUUGAGUGUCGUGAAAACCUCAACCUCCUUGGUUUCUUCUGGAGACCAAAGGCAGGCUUGGACUUUGGAGGCCCUUGCUGGAACCUCUCUCUUUUGAAGGCCAGCUCCUCUUAAACGAAUUAGCAGGGUCCUCUUUGCCGAUCCUCGACGUGUGAUAAGAUGUUUCCAUGUCUUGGUUUCUGGCUCUGUCACUUUUGGGACCCGCUUCUAACCGUCUUGACCUUGCAUCGAGACAAUGUUCGAGCAUGUCUCCCUUCUCGGGAAGCUCCCUCGACCCCACGAACCCUUGACCUCAAAUCGGGUGAGACUACCCGCUGAACUUAAGCAUAUCAAUAAGCGGAGGAAAAGAAACUAACAAGGAUUCCCCUAGUAACUGCGAGUGAAGCGGGAAAAGCUCAAAUUUAAAAUCUGGCGGUCUUUGGCCGUCCGAGUUGUAAUUUAGAGAAGCGUCUUCCGCGCUGGAC